UUUUUUUUGUUUUUCGGUGGCUCUUUUACGUAGUGCAACAUUUUGUUUGGCUGCUGGACUUGCUGAAACAUCUGAGAAACAAAAAUGGCGCCAGGGAUUAGCAUCAGAUCGAGGAUGGACAUAAAGAGGAAUCGCUACAGUGAGGAUCUGCUGUACUCAUUACUGAGGAAAGGAGAACUGAUGCAGAGCUGCUUCAGGAUUUCAACCUUUUCCUUAGAGGAAGUUCACCACCUGGAUGAGUUGGGCAUCCCCGCCGAUAAGAGUCAACAAAAAGUUUCCUACAAACUACUUGUCAGGAAUACUACGUGGGUUAAAAAGAAAUGGAGAUGCUGAUCAUCAGUUUUUCUCGAGAUGGAGACUAUGAAGUCACCAGAUGUUAACAUCAUGGUCGCCACUGGAGUCAGCAACUCAAGUUCAAGGAAAUUGGUAACAGAAACAAGCACAACAAAGUGACUGAAAUGAUCCACCCUCAUUGACCAGUUCAGGAAAACCAAGGUAGGAUAAAUGAAAGGUAGGUGUUCAAUCUCAGGCGCAGCAGCCAGAGCAGAUCUGAUAUAUUCUCUGUGGACAGAUACUGUAUGUGUAUGUAAUCCAUUAUAGAUGGACACAUGAAGGGAGUCGACAACAAUAAUAAAAAUAUAUAU
Xiphophorus maculatus (southern platyfish) is the source of this 644-nucleotide long non-coding RNA. RefSeq lists it as uncharacterized. Lineage: Eukaryota; Metazoa; Chordata; Actinopteri; Cyprinodontiformes; Poeciliidae. The transcript has 3 exons. The record is from RefSeq and is a predicted model, not a curated record.